RNAcentral lists this ribosomal RNA (468 nucleotides) under uncultured bacterium. RNAcentral describes it as "partial 16S ribosomal RNA". It matches the Rfam family "Bacterial small subunit ribosomal RNA", at positions 28 to 507 of the family's 1533-position model. The record is from RNAcentral.
GACGAACGCUGGCGGCGUGCUUAACACAUGCAAGUCGAACGGAAAGGCCCCACCUUGCUGGCGUGGAUCAGUGGCGAACGGGUGAGUAACACGUGAGCAACCUGCCCCUGACUCUGGAAUAAGCGCUGGAAACUGCGUCUAAUACGGGAUACGAGAUGCUUCUGCAUGGGCACUUUCUGUAAAUUUUUUCGGUUGGGGAUGGGCUCGCGGCCUAUCAGCUUGUUGGUGGGGUAAUGGCUCACCAAGGCGACGACAGGUAGCCGGCCUGAGAGGGCGACCGGCCACACUGGGACUGAGACACGGCCCAGACUCCUACGGGAGGCAGCAGUGGGGAAUAUUGCACAAUGGGCGAAAGCCUGAUGCAGCGACGCCGCGUGAGGGAUGACGGCCUUCGGGUUGUAAACCUCUUUCAGCAGGGAAGAAGCGAAAGUGACGGUACCUGGAGAAGAAGCACCGGCUAACUACGUG